AAACAACUCUCAGCAACGGAUAUCUUGGCUCUUGCAACGAUGAAGAACGCAGCGAAAUGCGAUACGUAGUGUGAAUUGCAGAAUUCCGCGAAUCAUCGAGUCUUUGAACGCAAGUUGCGCCCGAGGCUUGUCCGAGGGCAUUUCCGCUAGAGGGUCAC
This 158-nucleotide ribosomal RNA is filed under the name Philonotis caespitosa. RNAcentral's name for it is "5.8S ribosomal RNA". It matches the Rfam family "5.8S ribosomal RNA". From Rfam's summary of the family: 5.8S ribosomal RNA (5.8S rRNA) is a component of the large subunit of the eukaryotic ribosome. It is transcribed by RNA polymerase I as part of the 45S precursor that also contains 18S and 28S rRNA. The record is from RNAcentral. Lineage: Eukaryota; Viridiplantae; Streptophyta; Bryopsida; Bartramiales; Bartramiaceae.